Scleropages formosus (Asian bonytongue) is the source of this 106-nucleotide small nucleolar RNA. Ensembl annotates it as small nucleolar RNA SNORD46. Its record names the gene SNORD46. Lineage: Eukaryota; Metazoa; Chordata; Actinopteri; Osteoglossiformes; Osteoglossidae. The record is from Ensembl.
UGUGUGGAUGAUGAAAUUAUGACCUUAGGUAGGUUUGUUUUGGCCGUUUUGGCUAAUGCUGUGGACCUGCCAAUGCUAGGAUUUGUCAUAGUUACACUGACACAUU